RNAcentral lists this microRNA precursor (69 nucleotides) under Microcebus murinus (gray mouse lemur). RNAcentral describes it as "miRNA (ENSMICG00000041674.1)". Lineage: Eukaryota; Metazoa; Chordata; Mammalia; Primates; Cheirogaleidae. The record is from RNAcentral.
UUGAGGCUACAGUGAGCUAGGAUCAUGCCACUGCACUCCAGCCUGAGUGACAGAGCAAGACCCUGUCUC